RNAcentral lists this long non-coding RNA (889 nucleotides) under Anas platyrhynchos platyrhynchos (common mallard). RNAcentral's name for it is "lncRNA (ENSAPLG00000029111.1)". Lineage: Eukaryota; Metazoa; Chordata; Aves; Anseriformes; Anatidae. The record is from RNAcentral.
UUACAGACAAAUGGCCUAAUUCUCAGUGCUUUGUCAUUUAUUUGUAUUUCACGCUUUUUUUUUUUUUUCUCUUUCUUCACAGAUCUAAAUUAAAGAAAGGAGAAAAACACCCUGCAGAAGCUCAGUGUCUCAUAAUAAAAGGCUGAACCAAGACCUCAUAACUCACAUUUCAAUCAGUCACAAAGGGAAAGAUUUAGAACAUUCAUUUAAAAAUAUUUGUCUUUUUUCUCUCUCGGUAAUUUCCUAGCAAUUUCUUACAGUCAUGAGGAAAUGCCUAAUAUAUAUAUAUUUGCUUCAGUGUACACAGAUUUUUGUACAAAAUUCUGAAGUCUGUCAAUGUUUACUGACUGUAUAGUACUGUCAUAACUGGCCCAGCUCAGCAUGUGUCCACCCUCUGAAAGGAUCUGGCAAACUUCUAGCUUUGCACUGUGCUCACCUUUCAACAUAAGGAGCUUACAGAAUCUACUCGCAAGUUAUCUCAGAGAGGCCAGAAAAGAAGAUUAAACAGCUUUCAAGCUUCAGGAAAGUGUCUGGUGUGGUGGGCUCAGGCUCAGGCCUGAUAUUUAUGGAUAAUAUUUGAACUGAAGUAUUCAAAACAGCUAUGUGGAAUACACAUGUUCAAUAUUACCGAUUAUGCAUCAUCUCUGGAGACGACUCAUGAAAAAUUUCAGCUGGGAUUCUGUAACGUCAACAAAACCAUACUUGAAAAAUUGUUUCAGGGUAAGCUCCCCAGUUUCUAGAAAGCUUUCCACUUAAAUAUGGGUAGAAAAAUAACUUUUUCAAAAGCAUUAUGGAUUGGGCAAAACAUUGAAAUGUCCAUUCCAGACUUCCAAUAUGUAUGGCACGACUAGGCAAUCCAGAUAUCAAAAUAAAAUAAUUAUGACUACCA